AACGAACGCUGGCGGCGUGGAUUAGGCAUGCAAGUCGAACGCGAAAGAGGGGGUAACUCCUCGAGUAGAGUGGCGAACGGGUGAGUAACACGUGAGAAACCUGCCUUCAGCAGGGGGAUAACACUCCCAACGGGGUGCUAAUACCGCAUGAGACCACGGAUUCGCAUGGAUCUGGGGUCAAAGGUGGCCUCUGCUUGCAAGCUACCGGCUGAAGAUGGUCUCGCGCCCAUUAGCUAGUUGGUGGGGUAAUGGCCCACCAAGGCGACGAUGGGUAGCUGGUCUGAGAGGAUGGUCAGCCACACUGGGACUGAGAUACGGCCCAGACUCCUACGGGAGGCAGCAGUCGAGAGGCUUUGGCAAUGGGGAAACCCUGACCAAGCGACGCCGCGUGGGGGAUGAAGGCCCUUGGGUUGUAAACCCCUUUUGUUGGGGAAGAAACGCGAUCAGGUGAAUAAUCUGGUCGUUUGACGGUACCCGACGAAUAAGCUCCGGCUAACUCCGUGCCAGCCGCCGC
Molecule: ribosomal RNA, 514 nt
Filed under: uncultured bacterium
Lineage: Bacteria
Description: bacterial SSU rRNA
Rfam family: Bacterial small subunit ribosomal RNA
Source: RNAcentral